Non-coding RNA from Taeniopygia guttata (zebra finch), 3304 nucleotides. The record is from RefSeq and is a predicted model, not a curated record. NCBI's taxonomy places the organism in Eukaryota, Metazoa, Chordata, Aves, Passeriformes, Estrildidae.
AGCGCAUCGGCAGUUGUGGCGCCCAGCCGUGAGGCUUGAGAGCAUCAAGCACACGGAUGGAGGAAUACUGAGCCCUCAGAGACCGGUGGAUUUAACCUUGUGGACGUUACAAUACCUCCCUGCAAGCCAAGGCUCCGUUCUAGCAAGCCGAGCGUUUCCCAGAGGACGGACCGGCAGCUUCGGGUUGCACCACCAAAGACCGGUCCCCCUGCGGCGAAAACUUCACAGCUGGAUUUUUCGUUUCCCCUUUGGACUUCGCUGGACCCUCUGUAAGUUACGGGGGGCCCCUGGGGCUGGGCACACCUUGUCUCUUUUGGGGUGGGUUUCUCUUUCUCCCGCGGGGGCGAAAGAUCCCACAUUUUGCGGGUCUCCCUUUAGGCAGGGAGUUUGUAAUGACAGGUCUACCCAGCGUCUGAAAAGGGGUCUUUUCUGUUGUUAUUUUCCCAGUUAUGAGGUUUAGCGGCACAUUUAAGAUCGACAAUAUGGGUGCUAAAUUGUCAGUGUCGCAGAGAGAAUUUAUGUCCAAGUUGUUGGGAUCCUGGUUGGGGGAGAAAAAAAGAUUAAAAAGUCCGAUGUCAGACAUUUUGUCCGGUGGCUUCUGCAGUCCUUCCAGGAUCUGUCGACAACAAAUUUAUACCAAAUCCAGUUUUGGGACCAAGUUGGAAGGGAAAUUGUCUGAAAAGAGGACCCUUUCCUCUCAAUUUUCAUUCAUCUGGCACUCCAAAUUAGAAAUAUUGUCAAAGAUAACAGCGAAGGGAUGCCAGAGCCACUCGAAGGCAAAUGCAGCCCCAGUUUAAAAACCCCUAGCCCGCUUUCCUCUCCCUCUCUCCCCCGCCCGGGGAUUCUCAGACGGGCAUCCUGGCAGCAGCCGCCGGCAGAUUCUGGCCCCUUUGUUAACCCCCGGGUUCCCUCGCAGGGCAGUGCUGGCAUCGCUCUGCACUCUCCCCAUACCCCAAUUCCCUCUCUUUAUACAGCCCUGCCCCAUAGUGUUUUAAGACCCCCGACCCCUCUCCACAACCUUCCCCUAGGGGUGAUGUAACACCUGCCACACCCCCUAGCCCUAGUUCUGCCUCCUCCCUCAGUUCCCACGACCCCCCUUCUGGUUCCCACGCUUUGGUUUCCGGGGGUGGGGAGCGGGGGAACUGCGACCUGCCCCAAUCCCUGCCUGCCUUUUCUGCUGCACCGGUCACCUAUACACCGUGACAGAGGGGCAGACCCCUCACACAGUGGACUCCAAUCCCACAGUCGGUAAUCAGGGAUCUCUGCAAAGCCCAAAAGGAGUUUGUCUGGGAAAGUGAAUAUUUAGGGGGCUGUUAAGAGCUACGCUCUCCUCAAAUGAAUAUGUCCCUGCUGACAUGCGCACUCCCUUUUCGUGUUUGAUUACUCAAGCUGAGUUUUUGGUCUGGGAAUCCGCAUGGAGGCGGGAAGCACGAGAUUUAUUACCCAGCCUUUGGGCAAAUACAGAGACCUCCGUAGACACCGAUGGGGGUGUGUUGUCAAUUGAUCAUCCGUGCGGGGUGGGGGAUUGGGACACGGCAGCAAGGCAGACCGAAAAGAUUCCAAGGGGGGCACUGUCAGCAAGUGCCAAGGCGGCAGAAAAAGCAUUCUUUAAGUUAAGACCCAGUGGUCCUGUUGUUAACUGUUUCUCUCUUAAGCAGGAGCCUCAGGAAUCUUUCAUUAGUUUCGUAGAUAGGUUGUGCAGGGCAACAGAAGCCCAGAUUCCAGAAGAGGGAUUGAGGCAAGGCACAGUGAAGCAAAUUGCACUCCAGAACGCCAACGAAGCCUGCCAACAGGCGAUCCUGAGCCUUCCCCUCGACCCAGAGCCAACACUUCAAGACAUGCUGGACGUGUGCGCUCGAAAGGUCACCUUACCAUCAAAGGACCUCUAGGUGACUCCCCGAAUGCCAUCAAGGAGGGUCUCCUUCGCCAAAGCCCACACGCCAUCCACAACCCCAGCUCCUGCGUGCCGCUUCUCAGGGCCACCCCCCAAAGGUUACCACCCGGGAAAACCCUGUAACCUCUGCAAUAAGAAAGGACACUGGGCAUCCCAUUGCCGCCUGAAAGAGGACUUUUUACAUUUUAGAAACCAAAACAAACAGCAAGGGCAAGAUGCCCCCAACCCAGGGGAACAAUCAAAAAACUAGUUUCUCAGCGCAGUCCCUCCCUGCGUGAGGACACAAAUUUGGUGGGAAACAUAACAUCAGGGGAAAGGAGGGACAACACAUCAGCAUACCCACCUGAGGACAAAGACUCUAUUACCAGACAUGACAUUACCGGAUUGGACACUAGAGGAACUAAAGCUGGUGAACCAGCCUGCGUGGGGGGAGUUGGGAAUUUCAUUUCACAGGCAUGGCUUGGUCGGGACCCCGACCAUCCCAGGCCCAUCCUUAACACCCAGUCCAACUUCUCUCCAUACAGAUUGGCCCUGACCGAACCUCUGCUACUCAAGGAUAGCAAUUGGCAUUUUGUCACGGUUGACACACAGAACCCAGGGACCUGGAGGAGACUCCACAUUUUAGUGUUGUUAAAAAAUUUAAAGGCCAUCAACUCCACCAUGCAUAUCAACCGCGCCGUCUUCGCUGCCCCAUCAGAGCUGAUACCGCUCAACGCCGAACAUCCAGAAAAGAACCAAGAAGAACACCCAGAGGACAUCGGGUUCGACGAUGGGAAACAGGACUGCAAAUCCCUCAUUUAAGUUAUUUUCCGUUCUUUUCUUUUUAAACAAAAGAGAGGAAGAUGUAGAGUUGUGGUUUUUAUGUUUUAUUACAUUUGUAUUAUGUAUAAGUUUGUUCCAUGUACCCCCGGUCCUAUAACGAUUCCCCCCGGGUCUUCCCGUCUCUCCCCACGAGUCUGUUGUCCCCAAGAAAUGCCAAGUCACUGUGUUUACCCCCAAAUGCCUGUCUGUCACUCGGUAUCCCUUCCCCCCACCUGGAAUCUUCCACCCAGGAUGCCAGGCGAUAGGCAGACGACCUGGGACCCUCCACCUGUCCGUCCUUCAUUGGAUGUACCCCUGUACCCCACUACCCUCAAACCCCCCGUGGCGUUACCCCAUUGGCUGCCCAAGUUUCCUUCUGUCCUGUACUUAGUCCGCGCGCACAGCGCACUCAGGGCUUUCUCCUGGCUGGCACCAGCACGUGCCGCCGCCCCACCCAAGCUGCUCGGGGCUUUCCUCCCGGCCGGCUCCAGUGCGCCGCUCCGCCCCACCCACUAGCACGGCCCCAACAAACACCGUCGCGGCUCGCCUGGUUCCCUUUGGAUUAUUGUUUUACCCAUUGGAUUGCAAUAAAACGGAAUUCGCCCCCCA